This 510-nucleotide ribosomal RNA is filed under the name uncultured bacterium. Its description in RNAcentral is "partial 16S ribosomal RNA". It matches the Rfam family "Bacterial small subunit ribosomal RNA", at positions 28 to 507 of the family's 1533-position model. The record is from RNAcentral.
GACGAACGCUGGCGGCGUGCUUAACACAUGCAAGUCGAACGAAGAGCGAUGGAAGCUUGCUUCUCUCAAUCUUAGUGGCGAACGGGUGAGUAACGCGUAAUCAACCUGCCCUUCAGAGGGGGACAACAGUUGGAAACGACUGCUAAUACCGCAUACGAUCUAACCUCGGCAUCGAGGAUAGAUGAAAGGUGGCCUCUACAUGUAAGCUAUCACUGAAGGAGGGGAUUGCGUCUGAUUAGCUAGUUGGAGGGGUAACGGCCCACCAAGGCGAUGAUCAGUAGCCGGUCUGAGAGGAUGAACGGCCACAUUGGGACUGAGACACGGCCCAGACUCCUACGGGAGGCAGCAGUGGAGAAUCUUCCGCAAUGGACGAAAGUCUGACGGAGCAACGCCGCGUGAGUGAUGACGGCCGUCGGGUUGUAAAGCUCUGUUAAUCGGGACGAAAGGCCUUCUUGCGAAUAGUGAGAAGGAUUGACGGUACCGGAAUAGAAAGCCACGGCUAACUACGUG